Molecule: ribosomal RNA, 415 nt
Filed under: uncultured bacterium
Lineage: Bacteria
Description: bacterial SSU rRNA
Rfam family: Bacterial small subunit ribosomal RNA
Source: RNAcentral
ACAGCAGCCGCGGUAAUACGUAGGGGGCGAGCGUUGUCCGGAAUGACUGGGCGUAAAGGGCGCGUAGACGGCUUUAUAAGUCUGGAGUGAAAGUCCUGCUUUCAAGGUGGGAAUUGCUUUGGAGACUGUAGGGCUUGAGUGCGGAAGAGGUAAGUGGAAUUCCCAGUGUAGCGGUGAAAUGCGUAGAGAUUGGGAGGAACACCAGUGGCGAAGGCGACUUACUGGGCCGUAACUGACGUUGAAGCGCGAAAGCGUGGGGAGCGAACAGGAUUAGAUACCCUGGUAGUCCACGCGGUAAACGAUGAGUGCUAGGUGUAGCGGGUAUCGACCCCUGCUGUGCCGGAGUUAACACAAUAAGCACUCCGCCUGGGGAGUACGGCCGCAAGGUUGAAACUUAAAGGAAUUGGCGGGGGAU